AGACAAUAUUUAUGUAGUUUUCUAUUUCUGUGUCAAAGACCACGACCAAAAGCAACUUGGAGAGGGAAGAUUCCAGCUUACACUUCCAGACAGAGCACAGAAUGAACAGAAGAUGAUCUAAGGAUCAUAGCAGGACUUCAGACUCUUCACAUGGGAAACUCAUUACAUCUCACCUCUGUAGGAGGCCAAGCAGAGAAGUCAAACAGAGAUCACAAGAAUUUUAACUGGGGAAAACCAUAAAAGAAAGUGACUUCUGUUAUCAUCAGCAAAGCCCUUUCACUUUUCUUACUCAGUAAUAAACAUUUCAAACUAGA
This is a long non-coding RNA of Peromyscus eremicus (cactus mouse), 314 nucleotides long. RefSeq lists it as uncharacterized. The transcript has 2 exons. Lineage: Eukaryota; Metazoa; Chordata; Mammalia; Rodentia; Cricetidae. The record is from RefSeq and is a predicted model, not a curated record.